UAUUUUAAUGAUUUCAUUCUGAAGCGCAAAGAAGACGAACGAAGAAAUAAGAGCUAGCUGUUUCUUCGGCGGUGAUGGUGCACGCGUUUGAACUGUAAAUGUGGUACAGCCGAACAGCGUCGAAGAAUACUUACAUCUUGCCACAAUAUCGGAAAAACAAAAUAACUGAAAUAAUUACGCUAUAUCCUUGUAUAAUGUCAACACGGAGGACGAUUGGCAGUAUCAUUAAGAAGCUCAUCUGAAUAACAAAAAUAAGUGUCGCAAGGCUGUGUUUGAUUAAUACUAUAAUUUUUUGAACAGUAGUACAGUAUAUUAUGAAUAUUUACUUAAAUUAUAUUUAAUUUUUAUGGUUUAUUUUCAGAUAAUAUACUGUACUACGGUUUUAGGUGUUCUUUUUAUUUUAAUAAUACGUUGAUAAAUUACCAAUUUUUUUUCUUAUCACAAAGCUAGUUUGUCUUUGUGUAUGUUUAAAUUUAUAUUUUUUAUAGUUAUUGUGCUGUUUAACUUUCUUAUAAAAGAGAGUGAGGAAUUAAAAAGGUGGCCACCGAACAGAAAGUUAAACUGCAAUAUACUAUAAUCGUUUUAGUUCUUGUUUACAUUUUUAACUGAUAAAUUAUGAAUAAAACAUUUCAAAUUAAUUUAAAUUCAAAAAUAAAAGAACACCAACAUAGAUUUCUUAAACAUUAAAAUUUUACUAUAAAUUUAAAUUACAUUUAAUCAGCACAUUAGUUGAAGUUUUAUAGGAACCGAACAUUUGGCUGGAUCAUGGACUACCCACCGACGGAGAAUUUGUCAUUGAGCUGAUGGGAUAUGUGUCGGCACUCGGCUUCGUUUCAACCUGGAGGAAGAUUGGCAGCAGCAAAAAGAAAUUCAACUGAUAAUCAACUAUCCAAAUGAAGAAGAAUUUGUCACAAAGCUGAUGGGAAAUGUGUCAGCACUCGGCUUCGUUUCAACCCGGAGGAAGAUUGGCAGCAGCAAAAAGAAAUUCAACUGAUAAUCAACUGUCCAAAUGAAGAAGAAUUUGUCACAAAGCUGAUGGGAAAUGUGUCAGCACUCGGCUUCGUUUCAACCCGGAGGAAGAUUGGCAGCAGCAAAAAGAAAUUCAACUGAUAAUCAACUGUCCAAAUGAAGAAGAAUUUGUCACAAAGCUGAUGGGAAAUGUGUCGGCACUCGGCUUCGUUUCAACCCGGAGGAAGAUUGGCAGCAUCAAAAAGAAGCUCAUCUUAAUUUAGUUGUCCCCCCCUUUACGCAUUAGCGCUCAUCUCUCAUCCACUCAUCCAACACAUUGACUACGCCGGCCGGCAACACACAUAUAUUAUACACAUUACCCGUUUUAUAUUAUAUAGUAUUAUUAAUAUCCACAUAAUUUAAGUUAUUGUAUAUUUUUUUUUUAUUAUUUGAAUGCAUUCAUAUGAUCAGUUGCGUAUUUAGGAAUUUUAGGAUAAGGGCAACACAUAUUUUGCCGCCUCCCCCCAUUAAAAAAAAAUUAAAAAACUUCUACGCCGCGCAAUAGUGGUCAAACUGUUAAUACCAUAGAAUACCAUGUUAUAUAAAUAGUAUAGUAUUUUAUACCUCUAUGGCACACAUUUGUUGUGAAAAUUAUUAAUGAUUGACGUCACUGCGCCAGUACUCAUAAAGUACGAAAUAAAAAUUUGCAGCCCCUCUAAAUCUUUAAAAAUUUGCCGUUCUGGACAACUGGACCCUAAGCCCCUACCUAAAUACGCCCCUGCAUAUGAUGCGUUCUCGCUUAGGAUGUGGAUUAGGCCUACUGGGGACACCACAAUAAAAAAACGCGCCUCGUGUAAUACCUCAUAAAGUUAUUAAACAAUCCGGACAAUGUUAUUGUACGUCGUUUAAUAAUAUAAAGGUGGUGUGGAAAAUUACCUAACACUGUUAUUCUUAUCUUAUAGUUAUACCUGCAUACAUUUUUUUAUUAAAUACCAAUUAAAUAAUUAUUUAUAUCAAGAAUCGAGAAAUAUUAACGUUUUAUAAAGUAUUACAAUAAAAUAGUUUUGAAAAAAAAUAUUCUUUGAUUUGUUACAAAAAGACUCUAAGUAGGUAGUUAUUAUAUUAGUUUUUAUUUUAACA
This is a long non-coding RNA of Rhopalosiphum padi (bird cherry-oat aphid), 2088 nucleotides long. RefSeq lists it as uncharacterized. The record is from RefSeq and is a predicted model, not a curated record. The transcript is spliced from 5 exons. NCBI's taxonomy places the organism in Eukaryota, Metazoa, Arthropoda, Insecta, Hemiptera, Aphididae.